Molecule: long non-coding RNA, 1207 nt
Filed under: Phoenix dactylifera (date palm)
Lineage: Eukaryota; Viridiplantae; Streptophyta; Magnoliopsida; Arecales; Arecaceae
Description: long non-coding RNA (PDAC_LNC006525)
Source: RNAcentral
UCUAUCCACACACCAUAAAAGAGGGGUUCAAAGGGGCUCCGAAUUUUUCAUGGUUUUUCUUGAAAUUUUUGGCAGCAAGAACCUCCUUCCAUUCCUCCUUUCAGCCACAAGGAAGCAAGGGAAAAGAAGCUCUUGGCGUGGCAUUCAAGAGUUGAUUGAUGGGGAGGAUAUCAGCCAUCAAUAGCCAUCUCUGCAAGGGAGCUAGCACCCCAGGGAGAUCUAAAAGCUUCGAUUGGUGCUUUGCCUCAUGUGGAUACCCAUAGAGGCCAGACGUAUGUGCGGCUUCCAUCGAACCUUCAACAAAUCCACGUAAAUCAGAUUUGCGGAGACCAUCUACCCGCACAAGGUGAAGAUUUGAUCUUCUUAUUGAUUUUUAAAUGGUUUAAAAGAAUUUAAUCCUAAUCUAUCAACAAAUGGUUUUAAANNNNNNNNNNNNNNNNNNNNGAACCUUCAACAAAUCCAUGUAAAUCAGAUUUGCGGAGACCAUCUACCCGCACAAGGUGAAGAUUUGAUCUUCUUAUUGAUUUUUAAAUGGUUUAAAAGAAUUUAAUCCUAAUCUAUCAACAAAUGGUUUUAAAAUACGUUCAUGUGAUGAACGAGAUCUGCGCAUGCCCUUCCGCUGCAGAUCUGAAAUUUUUUGAAAUUUUUUUGCGGCAUGCAUGAGAUCCUAACAGUGGUAUCAGAGCCAUGGUUAUGUAGAUUAAGAUUAGGAUUAGAUAUUUAAAGGCAUUUUAGAUCUGAAAUUUAAAGGAUAUGUUUGCUGAAAAUUUUCUGCAUGCAGAAUUUUCAGCUUGCUGAUUUUUUCAGCAUGCUGAUUUUUGGAUGCUUAGAUUAAUGAUUCUAGUGCUUUGAUAAUCUAAUUACAAAUAUUUAGAAUCAUAUCUUACAUAAUCAGCAAGUCAUGAGAUAAAAUAAUCAGUUAAAUUACAGAUCUGAAAAUAAUAUUUAUGCAUGAGAUACGUAUGGUGAUGGUCAUGGAUGAACCCUUUACAUGUGAUGAAAUGUUCUGCAAUGUUCUGUGAUGUUAUGUAAUUUUAAUUUUUCAGAUUCCCGCGUGCAUCUUAAAUUCAUGUAUUAGAGACCUGCAUGUCUCAUGAAAAGGAGUUGUAAUUUAUUCUUUUAUUUUAUUUAAUUUUUAAAGCAAUCUGGGAUGUAAUCUGUGAUGUGUGUUGCACGUCGAUGGUUGAUCGAUAUGUACAUCAACNNN